This 253-nucleotide ribosomal RNA is filed under the name uncultured bacterium. Its description in RNAcentral is "partial 16S ribosomal RNA". It matches the Rfam family "Bacterial small subunit ribosomal RNA", at positions 524 to 776 of the family's 1533-position model. The record is from RNAcentral.
UACGGAGGGUGCAACCGUUGCUCGGAAUUAUUGGGCGUAAAGCGCACGUAGGCGGCCGAAUAAGUCGGGUGUGAAAGCCCUGGGCUCAACCCAGGAAGUGCACUCGAAACUGCUCGGCUUGAGUAUGGAAGAGGGUUGCGGAAUUCCCGGUGUAGAGGUGAAAUUCGUAGAUAUCGGGAGGAACACCAGUGGCGAAGGCGGCAACCUGGGCCAAUACUGACGCUGAGGUGCGAAAGCGUGGGGAGCAAACAGG